CCUACGGGGGGCAGCAGUGGGGAAUAUUGCACAAUGGGGGAAACCCUGAUGCAGCGACGCCGCGUGAAGGACGAAGUAUUUCGGUACGUAAACUUCUAUCAGCAGGGAAGAAAAUGACGGUACCUGACCAAGAGGCCCCGGCUAACUACGUGCCAGCAGCCGCGGUAAUACGUAGGGGGCAAGCGUUAUCCGGAUUUAUUGGGUUUAAAGGGUGCGUAGGCGGUCCGGAAAGUCAGCGGUAAAAGCCCGGGGCUCAACCCCGGCGAGCCGUUGAAACUGUCGGACUAGAGACGGCGAGAAGGACG
RNAcentral lists this ribosomal RNA (305 nucleotides) under uncultured bacterium. RNAcentral describes it as "bacterial SSU rRNA". It matches the Rfam family "Bacterial small subunit ribosomal RNA", at positions 338 to 661 of the family's 1533-position model. The record is from RNAcentral.